This 329-nucleotide ribosomal RNA is filed under the name uncultured eukaryote. Its description in RNAcentral is "partial 18S ribosomal RNA". It matches the Rfam family "Eukaryotic small subunit ribosomal RNA", at positions 1470 to 1796 of the family's 1831-position model. The record is from RNAcentral.
CCCUUAGAUGUCCUGGGCUGCACGCGCGCUACACUGAUGCAAUCAGCGAGUCUUCCUUGACCGAAAGGUUUGGGUAGUCUUGUGAAAUUGCAUCGUGAUAGGGCUUGACGAUUGCAACUUUUCGUCAUCAACGAGGAAUUCCUAGUAAGUGCAAGUCAACAACUUGCGUUGAUUACGUCCCUGCCCUUUGUACACACCGCCCGUCGCUCCUACCGAUUGAAUGUUCCGGUGAACACUCCGGAGGCUUGGUUUUGGUCGGGGAAACUCGUACAAAACCGCUGCCGAAGUUGUGUGAACCUUAACAUUUAGAGGAAGGAGAANUCGUANCA